This 459-nucleotide ribosomal RNA is filed under the name uncultured bacterium. RNAcentral's name for it is "partial 16S ribosomal RNA". It matches the Rfam family "Bacterial small subunit ribosomal RNA", at positions 338 to 795 of the family's 1533-position model. The record is from RNAcentral.
CCUACGGGUGGCUGCAGUGAGGAAUCUUGGUCAAUGGGCGGGAGCCUGAACCAGCCAAGCCGCGUGAGGGAAGAAGGUACAGCGUAUCGUAAACCUCUUUUGUCAGGGAGCAAAGUCGGGGACUCGUCCCCGGCUGAGGGUACCUUAAGAACAAGCAUCGGCUAACUCCGUGCCAGCAGCCGCGGUAAUCCGGGGGGUGCGAGCGUUAUCCGGUUUUAUUGGGUUUAAAGGGUACGCAGGCGGCCUGUUAAGUCAGCGGUAAAAGCCCGGGGCUCAACCCCGGCGAGCCGUUGAAACUGGCGGGCUGGAGUUGGAGAGAAGUAAGCGGAACGCGCGGUGUAGCGGUGAAAUGCUUAGAUAUCGCGCAGAACCCCGAUUGCGAAGGCAGCGUACUGGCUCCAAACUGACGCUGAGGCACGAAAGCGUGGGUAUCGAACAGGAUUAGAUACCCUUGUAGUC